AUGAGUUGUUUCCGUCUCUCCAAAAAUAUGUGCAAAAAAAUCACAACUGCCAUUGCCAGGUUUUGGUGGGGAGGAAAUGAAAAUACGAGCAAAAUGCAUUGGAAGAAAUGGAAGGAUAUUGCUGCUCCCAAAUGUGUGGGUGGUAUGGGCUUUAAAGACCUUGAGUUGUUCAAUCAAGCAAUGCUUGCUAAACAGGGUUGGCGACUUCUCACACAACAGGAUUCACUCUGUGCCAGGGUGAUCAAAGGCAAGUAUUUUCAUGAUGUUGAUUUUAUGACGGCGACAAGGAAAAAGAAUGCCUCGCAUACAUGGAGGGCAAUUAUGUAUGGACGGGAAGCUCUAACUCAUGGCCUGAUCAAACGUAUUGGUGAUGGUAGCAAUACUAGAGUUUGGGAGGAUCCCUGGAUUCCUUCAAACUUGGGCUUUAAACCCCUUUUAUGUCUUCAAAACUCGACCGUGAAUAUGGUCGAGGACUCGAUCGACCCAUACAAUGGAGACUGGAAUAGAGAGGUUUUACAGAAUAAUUUCCUUCCUAUUGAUGCGGCUGCUGUGCAAAUGAUUCCUUUGGGAAGGAUGGAAGAAGAUAACUGGGCAUGGCAUUUAGAGAGAAGUGGAAAUUUCAGUGUCUGGUCAGCUUACAGGGCAAUGCUUGGUGCUCGGCAGCAAACAAAUAAUCCAGCUAGCUCGGCAGGUGAUGAUAGAACAUUUUGGAAGAAGCUUUGGAAGAUGCCUGUACCCUCAAAGGUCCGUAAUUUUUGGUGGCGUGUGAUUAGGAAGUUUAUCCCAUGCCGAUCUAUUCUGAAGGAAAGACAUAUUGAACAAAUCAGUUUCUGCGAGGAUUGUGGAUGUGAAGAAACAAUCACUCAUUCUUUGUUCGAUUGUACAUGGGCUAAGCUGUUUUGGCAUCAAAUAAGGAACAUGUUGGGUGUCAAACUUCCUCGUUUGCAUCCGGACUCAUGGGCGAUGGAUAUGAUUGAUGGAGGUAUGGUCAGUGAUACAGAUGCCGCUGUCAUCUUAUGUGGAUGUUGGUCUGUAUGGUCAGAGCGCAAUGCAAAGAAGCACGGAGAUAAAGGGCGGUCGAUCCAAUGCUCGGUGAAAUGGACUGCUGAUGUGACUAUGGAUUUGAUAAUUUCAUCAAAAGAAGGAAAGAAAAUGCCUACUAAGGCUGACGAUAAAUGGCGACCCCUGGAAAUUAAUUGCAUUAAGCUGAAUGUGGACGCAAGUUUUUUGGCUGAUUGUCUCCAAGGAAGUACAGGGGUAGGUGUGCGCGAUCAUGAAGGUAAACUCGUUCGUGCCCAGGCACUAUGGUAUGAACAUGCAGCCAAUUUUUUUGUUAUGGAGGCGUUGACUAUUAGAGAUGGAGGCCGACUUGCAGGUAAUAUGGGUCUCCGGAACAUCAUCGUUGAAACUGAUGCUUUGGCUAUUACGAAGCUCUGGAAUACCAAUAAUUUUGGGCGUUCAGAAAUUGUUGUUGUGCUUCAGGAAACUAAAGAGCUUUCAGAGAGUUUUUCAGUUUUUUGUUUUGUCUUAUAUUCCUAG
This 1539-nucleotide ribosomal RNA is filed under the name Triticum aestivum (bread wheat). RNAcentral describes it as "partial small subunit ribosomal RNA". Lineage: Eukaryota; Viridiplantae; Streptophyta; Magnoliopsida; Poales; Poaceae. The record is from RNAcentral.